RNAcentral lists this long non-coding RNA (1079 nucleotides) under Equus asinus (donkey). Its description in RNAcentral is "lncRNA (ENSEASG00005033267.1)". The stretch from base 272 to 306 matches the Rfam family "Iron response element I". The record is from RNAcentral. Lineage: Eukaryota; Metazoa; Chordata; Mammalia; Perissodactyla; Equidae.
CAUUGUGAAGCCCCAGAGAAUUCUCUGCCAAGGAUGGGAAACAUCUUUGUCUGCUAUGAGCCAUCUUGUCCUUCUCACCAUGCCACUCCAGCCUUUAAAGAUGUUGUCUUCUGGCCUUGGUAGUUCCUGAUGAGAAAUCAACAACCAUUCAAAUCAUUGUCCUCCUGUCCUGGAACCCUCUUACCUGUCAAUGACUUUCCCUCUUGGAAUUUGAGGGAACAACUGGAAUGCCCCCAGCUUUUCCCACAGAUGCUCUUCACCAAGAGUCCCGCAGUUUCCUGCCUCAACAGUGCUUGGACUGAACGGGCACUCAUCCCCCACCCUGCCUAGUGCUCAGAGCCAACCUUUCAUCGCCUCUUCACAGCUCCCUCAGACUACCCCAGCCUCCACCACCACCACCACCUCUCCUCAGCCAUGUGCUAUGAGGACCACGUCCCCCUCACAGGUAUGCCAGGACUACCACCUUGACUCAGAGGCCACCAUCAACCGCCAGAUCAACCUGGAGCUCUAUGCCUCCUACAUCUUCCUGUCCAUGUCUUACUACUUUGAGAUGAUGUGGCUUUGAAGAAUUUUGCCAAAUGCUUUCUUCACCAAUCUCAUAAGACGAGGAAACAUGCUGAGAAACGGAUAAAGCUGCAGAACCAACGAGGUGGCCAUUCCUUCAGGAUAUCAAGAAACCAGAUCACGAUGACUGGGAAAAUGGGCUGAAUGCAACAGAGUGUGUGUUACACUUGGGAAAAAGCAUGAAUCAGUCACUACUGGGACUGUACUCACAAACUGGCCACUGACGAAAAUAGCCCCCAUUUGUGUGCCCUCAUUGAGAGUCAUUACUUAAAUAAGCAGACAAAAUUCUUCAAAGAAUUGGAUGACCACUGUAACCAAUUUUUCCAUUAUGGGGUCCCCAGAAUCUGGCAUGGCAGGGUAUCUCUUUGACAAGCACACCCUGGAAGACAAUGAUAGGAAGAACUGAGCCUUAGGAUGUUUCCCAUAGCCAUGAGAGGACUUCCCUGGUCACCAGGCAGCGCAUGAAUGUUGGGGUUACAUUUAUCUUUUCUGUAAGUUGUACCAAAACAUCUACU